ACGGCUUGUACCGCUGGCACUCUAUACAC
This 29-nucleotide small RNA is filed under the name Bombyx mori (domestic silkworm). Its description in RNAcentral is "ovarian small RNA-11573". Lineage: Eukaryota; Metazoa; Arthropoda; Insecta; Lepidoptera; Bombycidae. The record is from RNAcentral.